CUGUUAACACUUGCUUUUAGUGAGUUACUUGUACUUUGAGGUUGAAAAAUCUUACCAGCUCAGUCUACUUGAGCUGGAUUCAUAUAGAAAAAGUAAGUUUAUGACAUGUGGACAUGCGCAGAUCAGUCCUCUCUGAAAUCCCUAAACCCAACCAAUCAAGGUGCUUCGUGGGGCGGGUCUUGGCGUUGCGGGAAUCAUAAUUUUGCAGACGGUCGUUACAAGUCACCUCACACAUGCCGCAACUGACCAGGUGGAGCUGGACCUAUACAUCGCUUCUACGGCACUUUUGAUUAUCUUCAGCCGAGAUUCUUGUGCUUGGCACACUUAUUUGGCUCAAGCAGAAUGGUAAUCAAUCCUCCUCACAUUCCAUAAUCCCAGCAAUAAAAGAUACUGUGGACAGUCCAUCAUACCCAGGACUACAGUAUCCUAGAU
Molecule: non-coding RNA, 432 nt
Organism: Paramisgurnus dabryanus
Lineage: Eukaryota; Metazoa; Chordata; Actinopteri; Cypriniformes; Cobitidae
Source: RefSeq, a predicted model, not a curated record